ACUUCUGGGUGCGACCGCGGUCCAAGUCCUUUGGAAUGGGGCGUCGUAGAGGGUGACAAUCCCGUAUGCGGCCGAUGGUCUAUCCCGCGCGAAGUCCUUUCGACGAGUCGAGUUGUUUGGGAAUGCAGCUCUAAAUGGGUGGUAAACUUCAUCUAAAGCUAAAUAUCGGCCGGAGACCGAUAGUGGACAAGUAGCGUGAGCGAACGAUGAAAAGAACUUUGAAAAGAGAGUCAAACAGUACGUGAAAUUGUUGAAAGGGAAGCGCUUGCAACCAGACUCGCGCGCGGGGUUCAGCCGCUCCUCGGGGCGGUGUACUCCCCGCGCGCGGGCCAGCAUCAGUUCGGGCGGUCGGAGAAAGACCCGGGGAACGUAACUCUCUUCGGGGAGUGUUAUAGCCUCGGGUGUCAUGCGGCCAGCCCGGACUGAGGAUCGCGCAUCGCUAGGAUGCUGGCGUAAUGGUUGCCAGCGACCCGUCUUGAAACACGGACCAGUAAGUCACAGCCCCUCCCCCUCCCGUCCCCAGGUAGCUUCAGUAACUAAUUGUUUGAACAGAGGAGUCGACCAAUCGGGCGAGUAUUUGGGCGUAAAACCCAGAUGCGCAAUGAAAGUGAACGAGGUGAGAGCCUUCGGGUGCAUCAUCGACCGAUCUUGAUGUCUUCGGAUGGAUUUGAGUACGAGCCCGGUUGGCCGGACCCGAAAGAUAGUGAGCUUUGCGUGAAUAGGGUGAAGCCAGAGGAAACUCUGGUGGAGGCUCGCAGCGGUUCUGACGUGCAAAUCGAUCGUCAAAUUUGCGCAAAGGGGCGAAAGACUAAUCGAACUAUCUAGUAGCUGGUUCCUGCCGAAGUUUCCCUCAGGAUAGCAGCAACGGGGCAUAGUCUCAUGAGGUAGAGCAACGAUUAGAGGCCUGGGGGACGCAAUGUCCUUCACCUAUUCUCGAACUUCGAAUAUGUGAGAAGUCCUUGUUACUUAGU
RNAcentral lists this ribosomal RNA (971 nucleotides) under Diorygma sp. XZ-2021a. Its description in RNAcentral is "partial large subunit ribosomal RNA". It matches the Rfam family "Eukaryotic large subunit ribosomal RNA", at positions 161 to 1095 of the family's 3401-position model. Lineage: Eukaryota; Fungi; Ascomycota; Lecanoromycetes; Ostropales; Graphidaceae. The record is from RNAcentral.